RNAcentral lists this ribosomal RNA (508 nucleotides) under uncultured bacterium. RNAcentral's name for it is "partial 16S ribosomal RNA". It matches the Rfam family "Bacterial small subunit ribosomal RNA", at positions 28 to 523 of the family's 1533-position model. The record is from RNAcentral.
GAUGAACGCUAGCUACAGGCUUAACACAUGCAAGUCGAGGGGAAACGACAUCGAAAGCUUGCUUUUGAUGGGCGUCGACCGGCGCACGGGUGAGUAACGCGUAUCCAACCUGUCCACCACUUGGGGAUAACCUUGCGAAAGUAAGACUAAUACCCAAUGAUAUCUCUAGAAGACAUCUGAAAGAGAUUAAAGAUUUAUCGGUGAUGGAUGGGGAUGCGUCUGAUUAGCUUGUUGGCGGGGUGACGGCCCACCAAGGCGACGAUCAGUAGGGGUUCUGAGAGGAAGGUCCCCCACAUUGGAACUGAGACACGGUCCAAACUCCUACGGGAGGCAGCAGUGAGGAAUAUUGGUCAAUGGGCGAGAGCCUGAACCAGCCAAGUAACGUGCAGGAUGACGGCCCUAUGGGUUGUAAACUGCUUUUAUAAGGGAAUAAAGUGAGCCUCGUGAGGCUUUUUGCAUGUACCUUAUGAAUAAGGACCGGCUAAUUCCGUGCCAGCCGCCGCCGUAA